GACGAAGGGGGCUAGCGUUGCUCGGAAUUACUGGGCGUAAAGCGCACGUAGGCGGCUCUUUAAGUCGGGGGUGAAAUCCUGGAGCUCAACUCCAGAACUGCCUUCGAUACUGAAGAGCUUGAGUCCGGGAGAGGUGAGUGGAACUGCGAGUGUAGAGGUGAAAUUCGUAGAUAUUCGCAAGAACACCAGUGGCGAAGGCGGCUCACUGGCCCGGUACUGACGCUGAGGUGCGAAAGCGUGGGGAGCAAACAGG
RNAcentral lists this ribosomal RNA (253 nucleotides) under uncultured bacterium. RNAcentral's name for it is "partial 16S ribosomal RNA". It matches the Rfam family "Bacterial small subunit ribosomal RNA", at positions 524 to 776 of the family's 1533-position model. The record is from RNAcentral.